RNAcentral lists this ribosomal RNA (481 nucleotides) under uncultured bacterium. RNAcentral's name for it is "bacterial SSU rRNA". It matches the Rfam family "Bacterial small subunit ribosomal RNA", at positions 330 to 804 of the family's 1533-position model. The record is from RNAcentral.
UGCGAACUCCUACGGGAGGCAGCAGUGGGGAAUUUUGGACAAUGGGCGCAAGCCUGAUCCAGCCAUGCCGCGUGUCUGAAGAAGGCCUUCGGGUUGUAAAGGACUUUUGUCAGGGAAGAAAGGGCUGUUGCUAAUACCGACAGCUGAUGACGGUACCUGAAGAAUAAGCACCGGCUAACUACGUGCCAGCAGCCGCGGUAUAACGUAGGGUGCGAGCGUUAAUCGGAAUUACUGGUCGUAAAGCGGGCCCAGACGGUUACUUAAGCAGGAUGUGAAAUCCCCGGUCUCAACCUGGGAACUGCGUUCUGAACUGGGUGACUAGAGUGUGUCAGAGGGAGGUAGAAUUCCACGUGUAGCAGUGAAAUGCGUAGAGAUGUGGAGGAAUACCGAUGGCGAAGGCAGCCUCCUGGGAUAACACUGACGUUCAUGCUCGAAAGCGUGGGUAGCAAACAGGAUUAGAUACCCUUGUAGUCCAGAAGUG